Molecule: transfer RNA, 82 nt
Filed under: Bacteroidales bacterium
Lineage: Bacteria; Pseudomonadati; Bacteroidota; Bacteroidia; Bacteroidales
Description: tRNA-Leu
Rfam family: tRNA
About the family: Transfer RNA (tRNA) molecules are approximately 80 nucleotides in length. Their secondary structure includes four short double-helical elements and three loops (D, anti-codon, and T loops). Further hydrogen bonds mediate the characteristic L-shaped molecular structure. tRNAs have two regions of fundamental functional importance: the anti-codon, which is responsible for specific mRNA codon recognition, and the 3' end, to which the tRNAs corresponding amino acid is attached (by aminoacyl-tRNA synthetases). tRNAs cope with the degeneracy of the genetic code in two manners: having more than one tRNA (with a specific anti-codon) for a particular amino acid; and 'wobble' base-pairing, i.e. permitting non-standard base-pairing at the 3rd anti-codon position.
Source: RNAcentral
GCGGAUAUGGCGUAAUUGGUAGCCGCGUCAGACUUAGGAUCUGGUUCCGAGAGGAGUGGGGGUUCGAGUCCCCCUAUCCGCA